GUGUGUUUUCUUAAAAAAGAAUUUUUACGUUAUGUUAUUUUAUUUCUUUGAUGUACGGAUCAUUUGAUUAAUUUCAAUUCUACUUCAUUUAUAAAUAUUCUGAUCAGUUUCUGACAUAAUUAUAUCUGGCACUUACUGAUACAUUACUGAAAAGAUUGCACUUAAAAGCUUUAUGUGAAAGAAUACAACCACCAAAUCAUUUGUUGAAUUCCAAGAUUGUGUUGUCACGAACCUAAUGAGAUGCUAAUGAGAAAAGCUGAUAAAUCAUCACAUCUUUCGGAAUAAGAGUGGCAACAGUAAGAAAGGCUUGAUUUUUCUACGACCCGCAAUUCCAACUUCAAUAUACAACAUAUCUCGAUGGAAUCGAGAACCUGGAAAUAAUAAAUUCCCCAAUAUAUGUGUGUACAAAUUCUUCAUCACGCUGUAAUUUUUAUUACUUAUUAGUGCAUAUGUGCGAGUAUUAUUACUCACAUACAAAAAAAAAAAGGAAUUUGGUUCUUAUGACCCCUGUUAUAAAACAUUCUUCCAAAAAUGACAUUCAAAGUUGUCAUUUUUGAUUCAUUUAAUGAAGAAACUUAAUUUUUGCCAAAUAUGGUCAAAGACAUUUAAAUUGUAUUCAUCCUGAAAAUUUUACUUGGAAACUGGAAUUGAAGAGAUGUCGCCUGCUACUAAUAUGCAGAAAGAAGUGGUUUAAAAACGCAAUUUUCUCAUUGACCAUUUAAUGGAGAAAACAUAUGAUUACAAAUUUUGUCAUCUUUUCUCAUCUUCGGAAUUGAAAGAAUCGUUUACUGGUGCAUGCUAAAGAGAAACCAGAUACAUGUGACAUUUGUAAUAAAGCAUUUUUUCAACGGUCACAUUUAAAAAUUCAUGUAAU
Long non-coding RNA from Argiope bruennichi, 874 nucleotides. RefSeq lists it as uncharacterized. Lineage: Eukaryota; Metazoa; Arthropoda; Arachnida; Araneae; Araneidae. The record is from RefSeq and is a predicted model, not a curated record. The transcript has 3 exons.